GGACAUUGAAAACGAAGAGAAAGGUUAGUAUGUUGGUUAUUUAGGUGUUCUCCAGUCCAUGGUCGCUGUCUUUUUCAAGUUUUAGUGAAGUUCUUCAGCAUUGAUUGUUGUCAAUGUAUAAAUAAAAGUAAGUGGUUGGCUUGUGGACCUGCAAAGAUUAUUAGAAAGGGAUGUAAUGCAUCGCUUUGGUAUGUGGAGCUUAAGAGUAAGUCCUUACUGGUUUGCUUGUUUUAGGCAUACUUGUGGACCUGCAAAGAUUAUUAGAAAGGGAUGUAAUGCAUCGCUUUGGUAUGUGGAGCUUAAGAGUAAGUCCUUCCUGGUUUGCUUGUUUUAGGCAUACUCAUUCAACCCUAAACGAGGCUUUGUACUGUUUGGUAGAACUUUUAAAAAGUCAAA
Molecule: long non-coding RNA, 396 nt
Filed under: Olea europaea (common olive)
Lineage: Eukaryota; Viridiplantae; Streptophyta; Magnoliopsida; Lamiales; Oleaceae
Description: long non-coding RNA (OEUR_LNC000082)
Source: RNAcentral